RNAcentral lists this ribosomal RNA (399 nucleotides) under uncultured bacterium. Its description in RNAcentral is "bacterial SSU rRNA". It matches the Rfam family "Bacterial small subunit ribosomal RNA", at positions 975 to 1375 of the family's 1533-position model. The record is from RNAcentral.
CAAGUCUUGACAUCCCAUUGACGAGAGGGCAAUGCCUCUUUCCCUUCGGGGCAAUGGAGACAGGUGGUGCAUGGUUGUCGUCAGCUCGUGUCGUGAGAUGUUGGGUUAAGUCCCGCAACGAGCGCAACCCCUGUGCUUAGUAGCCAGCAGUAAGAUGGGCACUCUAGGGAGACUGCCGGGGAUAACUCGGAGGAAGGUGGGGACGACGUCAAAUCAUCAUGCCCCUUAUGACUUGGGCUACACACGUGCUACAAUGGCGUAAACAAAGGGAAGCAGCCCUGUGAAGGUGAGCGAAUCCCAAAAAUAACGUCUCAGUUCGGAUUGUAGUCUGCAACUCGACUACAUGAAGCUGGAAUCGCUAGUAAUCGCGAAUCAGAAUGUCGCGGUGAAUACGUUCCC